RNAcentral lists this ribosomal RNA (370 nucleotides) under uncultured eukaryote. RNAcentral describes it as "SSU rRNA". It matches the Rfam family "Eukaryotic small subunit ribosomal RNA", at positions 587 to 978 of the family's 1831-position model. The record is from RNAcentral.
AGCUCCAAUAGCGUAUCUUAAUGUUGUUGCAGUUAAAAGCUCGUAGUCGAAUUUCUGGCCGAGAGAAGCCGAAUACACUGUGCUUUCUCUUAGGUCAUCCGCCUUUGAGGCUAUACGGACAUUCAUUUGCUCCUGUAGCGGAUUGGGCAUUUUACUUUGAAGAAAUUAGAGUGUUCAAAGCAUGCUUACGCUUGAAUACGCCAGCAUGGAAUAAUGGAAUAGGACUAGUUUUAUUUCUUGGUUCGUAAAACUAGUAAUGAUUAAUAGGGACAGUUGGGGGCAUUUGAAUUAGUGUGUCAGAGGUGAAAUUCUUCGAUUACACUAGGUCAAACUAAUGCGAAGGCAUCUGCCAAGGAUGUUUUCAUUGAUC